This is a long non-coding RNA of Equus quagga, 2322 nucleotides long. RefSeq lists it as uncharacterized. The record is from RefSeq and is a predicted model, not a curated record. Lineage: Eukaryota; Metazoa; Chordata; Mammalia; Perissodactyla; Equidae. The transcript has 4 exons.
CUCCGGAGGCGCGUCGCUGCAUGACUGUCCCCUGGGCAAGGAGCCGCCGCUUAAGAACGUGAGGAGGCCCCCCAGCAUGGGAGCUGAUGCUCUCGAGGCAGGACGGUUCCGCGCGCAGCCAGCCACCUACGCUUCAGCCUUCCCUUUUGGUCCAGCUAGAUGGUUUUCAAGAGCGUAGAACUACCGCAGAGAAUCGUAUGCUGGCUUUGGAUCCCUCCCCUACGAUGUGACUGGGCAGCUCUGAAUACUCACACUUAUAACUAGUACCAGUCAAUGCGCUUGAUUGAACACCUGUUUGUCAGACCCUGUCGUAGCUGCUCGGUGGCCUCUGUCUCUUAAUUCUGCCUAUUCAGCAAAUAGUCCUGAGCACCAGGCACUGUACCUGGGCGUCCACAGGAGGCCUGAUCUUGUGAAGAUUAAAUGAAAAGCCCUUAGAAGAGUGCAUGGUACGUGGCAGCACUCAAUAAACGCUAAUUGUCAGCAGGACUCAACAGCACUCCAGAAACACCAGAAAAAGGCCUUCAGAGCCUCCUGGUUUCCCCUCCCUUUGAGCAUCGGUCCACAGGCCUGGGGACCUGGUAGGGAUGGGGGCCCUGGUGCUGGGCACCCACAGCUGAGGUGAGGUUGCCUACAAUUCCUCUUCCAGCGUUCCUCAUCGGAACUCCCUGCAAUGAGGUUUUCUCCGCUCCACUCCAAAUAAAUGGCUUUUUGCAGUUACCAGUGAUUUCUGUGUUGCCAAAUCCAAUGCUUAAUUCUCAGUCUACGACCGCACCAGACCUAUGAGCAGGAGUUCGCACAAAUGGUCAAUCUCUUCUCUUUGAGGCACUUUCCCUUUUGGACUCCAGGACCCAGCUCUCUUGCUGGCUCUGCUCCCUCACUGACCACUUUUUCCUGUCUCCUUUAUUUAUUUUCCCCGAGUCUCUAAAUGCUUUUCCCUUUUCUAUCUGGAUUUACUGCCUAGGUGAUCCCACUCAGACCAGGCCUUUAUAUACUAUCUGUACACUGAUAAGACUCAAAUUUACAUCUCUAGCCUGGACCUCUGCUCUCAAUGCCAGGCUCAUAUAUCCAUUUGGCUACUCGGCAUCUCUAUUUGGGUAUCUAAGAGGUCUCUUAAAUGCAUGUCUAAAACUCAACCUCAUUUCUCCCUGCAGUCUGCUCUUCCUGAGUCUUUCCAAGCACAGGAAAUUUGACCUCCGUUCUUCUAGCCAAAAAUCGUAGUGUCAUCUCCGAUUCAUUUUCUGUCAUACUUUAUCAUCCAAUCCAUCAAUAAAUCAUGUUGCAACUACCUUCAAAAUAUCCAGAACAGGGGCAGGCCUCACUUCCUCCACUGCUGCCACCCAAGUCUAAGCCGUCACCAUCUCUCCCUGAACUGCUGCCGGAGGCUCCUCAUUGGUUUGAGUCUCCUCUCUCACCUCCUCAAAGCAGCCAUAAUUCAAACACCACACCCUAGCUCAAAACCCUCCAACAGCUGCUCACCUCACUCAGGGGAAAUCCCUGCCUACCAGUGCUCAAGGUGCUUUCUGAUCCAGCCCCACCUACCUGACCUACCCUCUUCCACCCCACUCCCGUCACUCUACCCACUCCACGCAGGGAUGCUGGAGGACAAAAAUUGCUUUUAGUUCUGCUAUAAUGGUCUAACUCCAAUUUCCCCUUGACUUGUCCCUUCCUUUCAUCUGAUUAUUUGCUUAAACGUUCCUUUGUCAGAGAGGCUGCCUCUCCAUCCACAUUCUCUCUCCCUUUUCCUGCUUUUGCAUUUCUCAGCACCUGUCGCCACAUGAAAUAUUUAGGUAUCUCUUCUGACAAAAAGAGAGAGUAAAUGAGGUAGGGGCUUUGUUGUUCAUGGCUGUGUCUUCAGUGUUUAGGCCCAUAGCCUGUAUGUAGUGGGGGGGUUUAAUAAAACUUGUUAAGGGACAAAUAAAUGACGUAGCUGAGAGAAUGGAGCUCAGGCCAAGAGCACCUUCUUUGCUUUGGUGCCCCGCAAAUAGUCUCCACAAGGAGAACACACUGCUGACAAGAUGGUGGUGAUUUCACAUCAGAAACAGAAUGUGUGGAAGAAGAACUGAUAAUUAAAGGCUGCGGUUCCUAGGGAUGGUAUAAGAAUCACCUGGAACACUUAAAAAUACAGAGGCCCAAGUCUAACCACUGAAGGAUCUCAGUUAGGAAGGGAAGGCGGGGCAGGGCAGCUGUAUUUUCAAGGGUUCCCCGAGUGAUUCUGAUGUCGGAUCCCUGUUAAAACCAGUUAUUCAAAGGAAGCGUCUCAAAGGGCAUGUGGUAAACAACUAUGCAGUAAAUAAAACAACACACAUUUGUUUUUUUUAAACC